CCUACGGGUGGCAGCAGUAGGGAAUAUUGCUCAAUGGGGGAAACCCUGAAGCAGCAAAGCCGCGUGGAGGAUGAAGGUUUUCGGAUUGUAAACUCCUUUUGUUCGAGAAGCUAAUGCCGGUAUCUAACGACUAAGCACCGGCUAACUCCGUGCCAGCAGCCGCGGUAAAACGGAGGGUGCAAGCGUUACUCGGAAUCACUGGGCUUAAAGGGCGCGUAGGCGGGAUAGCAGGUCCGGUGUGAAAACCGAUGGCUUAACCAUAGAACUGCCUUUGAAACUGUUAUUCUAGAGUAGGCGAGAGGUAGGUGGAAUGCGUGGUGUAGCGGUAAAAUGCGUAGAUAUCAAGAAGAAUACUGAUUGCGAAGGCAACAUGCUAGCACCUAACUGACGCUGAUGCACGAAAGCGUGGGUAGCGAACAGGAUUAGAUACCCGGGUAGUC
RNAcentral lists this ribosomal RNA (440 nucleotides) under uncultured bacterium. RNAcentral describes it as "partial 16S ribosomal RNA". It matches the Rfam family "Bacterial small subunit ribosomal RNA", at positions 338 to 795 of the family's 1533-position model. The record is from RNAcentral.